AUUGAUUCUCUGCCUUUUGGCUCAGAUUAGUGUAGGAUCUGUUCUUAUCAGCUUAAAAUGGUGAUGAUGAUGGUGUCAUUUUAAUACAGUUAUGUCCAAACCUUUU
Molecule: small nuclear RNA, 106 nt
Organism: Bos grunniens (domestic yak)
Lineage: Eukaryota; Metazoa; Chordata; Mammalia; Artiodactyla; Bovidae
Gene: U2
Rfam family: U2 spliceosomal RNA
About the family: U2 is a small nuclear RNA (snRNA) component of the spliceosome (involved in pre-mRNA splicing). Complementary binding between U2 snRNA (in an area lying towards the 5' end but 3' to hairpin I) and the branchpoint sequence (BPS) of the intron results the bulging out of an unpaired adenosine, on the BPS, which initiates a nucleophilic attack at the intronic 5' splice site, thus starting the first of two transesterification reactions that mediate splicing.
Source: Ensembl